UCAUAGGUUCGCAGUCCCGAGGUCC
RNAcentral lists this non-coding RNA (25 nucleotides) under Mus musculus (house mouse). The record is from RNAcentral. Lineage: Eukaryota; Metazoa; Chordata; Mammalia; Rodentia; Muridae.